Molecule: ribosomal RNA, 253 nt
Filed under: uncultured bacterium
Lineage: Bacteria
Description: partial 16S ribosomal RNA
Rfam family: Bacterial small subunit ribosomal RNA
Source: RNAcentral
UACGUAGGGUACAAGCAUUAAUCGGAAUUAUUGGGCGUAAAGGGCGCGUAGGCGGAGAUGUAAGUCAGGUGUGAAAUACCAAAGCUCAACUUUGGUGCUGCAUUUGAAACUGCAUUUCUUGAGGAUUGACGGAGAAAGCGGAAUUCCACGUGUAGCGGUGAAAUGCGUAGAUACGUGGAGGAACACCGGUGGCGAAAGCGGCUUUCUAGUUUUUACCUGACGCUGAGGCGCGAGAGCAAGGGGAGCAAACAGG